UAGCUCAGUGGUAGAGCAUUUUCCUGGCAUGCACAAGGCCCUGGGUUCAAUCCCCAG
Molecule: transfer RNA, 57 nt
Filed under: Fukomys damarensis (Damara mole-rat)
Lineage: Eukaryota; Metazoa; Chordata; Mammalia; Rodentia; Bathyergidae
Rfam family: tRNA
About the family: Transfer RNA (tRNA) molecules are approximately 80 nucleotides in length. Their secondary structure includes four short double-helical elements and three loops (D, anti-codon, and T loops).
Source: Rfam by way of RNAcentral